AGAGCCUGAGGUUGUGCAGUGCUCUACUAAAGCUAGAGGACUACUAAACAGGGAUUGGACGUUUUUCUCAAGCUUAAGAAGAAAAGGAGCUCUGAUGUUUGUGAUCCUCAUAGCUCUGUCCAUCAGACUUCAAUAGAGUUUCUAAGAUUUUAUAAGACAGCUGCAAAAGUAUUUUUGCUGACAUUAUUGGUGAAGAGCUGACCAGAAGAUAAAAAGACAAGUUCUCUGUGGUCAAAGGACAUUUCACCCAGGAGAGUACCCCUACAACACAGGAGAGUACCCCUACAACACAGGAGAGUACCCCUACAACACAGGAGAGUACCCCUACAACACAGGAGAGUACCCCUACAACACAGGAGAGUAGCCCUACAACACAGGAGAGUACCCCUACAACACAGGAGAGUACACCUACAACACAGGAGAGUAGCCCUACAACACAGGAGAGUAGCCCUACAACACAGGAGAGUAGCCCUACAACACAGGAGAGUAGCACUACAACACAGGAGAGUAGCCCUACAACACAGGAGAGUAGCCCUACAACACAGGAGAGUAGCCCUACAACACAGGAGAGUAGCCCUACAACACAGGAGAGUAGCCCUACAACACAGGAGAGUAGCCCUACAACACAGGAGAGUAGCCCUACAACUCAGGAGAAUAGCCUUACAACACAGGAGAGUACCCCUACAACACAGGAGAGUAGCCCUACAACACAGGAGAGUAGCCCUACAACACAGGAGAGUAGCCCUACAACACAGGAGAGUAGCCCUACAACACAGGAGAGUAGCCCUACAACACAGGAGAGUAGCCCUACAACACAGGAGAGUAGCCCUACAACUCAGGAGAAUAGCCUUACAACACAGGAGUGUAGCCCUACAACAUAGGAGUAUAGCCCUACAACAUAGGAGUAUAGCCCUACAACAUAGGAGUAUAGCCCUACAACACAGGAGUAUAGAAGCCCUACAACAGAGGAGAAUAGCCCUACAACACAGGAGAAUAGCCCCACAACACAGGAGAGUAGCCCUACAACACAGGAGAAUAGCCCUACAACACAGGAGAAUAGCCCUACAACACAGAAGAAUAGCCCUACAACACAGGAGAGUAGCCCUACAACACAGGAGAGUAGCCCUACAACACAGGAGAGUAGCCCUACAACACAGGAGAGUAGCCCUACAACACAGGAGAGUAGCCCUACAACACAGGAGAGUAGGCCUACAACACAGGAGAGUAGCCCUACAACACAGGAGAGUAGCCCUACAACACAGGAGAGUAGCCCUACAACACAGGAGAGUAGCCCUACAACUCAGGAGAAUAGCCUUACAACACAGGAGAGUACCCCUACAACACAGGAGAGUAGCCCUACAACACAGGAGAGUAGCCCUACAACACAGGAGAGUAGCCCUACAACACAGGAGAGUAGCCCUACAACACAGGAGAGUAGCCCUACAACACAGGAGAGUAGCCCUACAACACAGGAGAGUAGCCCUACAACUCAGGAGAAUAGCCUUACAACACAGGAGUGUAGCCCUACAACAUAGGAGUAUAGCCCUACAACAUAGGAGUAUAGCCCUACAACAUAGGAGUAUAGCCCUACAACACAGGAGUAUAGAAGCCCUACAACAGAGGAGAAUAGCCCUACAACACAGGAGAAUAGCCCCACAACACAGGAGAGUAGCCCUACAACACAGGAGAAUAGCCCUACAACACAGGAGAAUAGCCCUACAACACAGAAGAAUAGCCCUACAACACAGGAGAGUAGCCCUACAACACAGGAGAGUAGCCCUACAACACAGGAGAGUAGCCCUACAACACAGGAGAGUAGCCCUACAACACAGGAGAGUAGCCCUACAACACAGGAGAGUAGGCCUACAACAUAGGAGAGUAGGCCUACAACAUAGGAGAGUAGGCCUACAACAUAGGAGAGUAGGCCUACAACUCAGGAGUGUAGCACUACAACACAGGAGAAUAGCCCUACAACAUAGGAUUAUAGCCCUACAACACAGGAGUAUAGCCCUACAACACAGGAGUAUAGCCCUACAACACAGGAGUAUAGCCCUACAACACAGGAGUAUAGCCCUACAACACAGGAGUAUAGCCCUACAACACAGGAGUAUAGCCCUUCAACACAGCAUGGGGAGAAAGCUUCUCUCUCACAAAUAUUCAGUAUGGUAAAGAUAUUAUUUUAGUGGAAAAACACCUUUGAUUAAAAUAUUAUAAUGUUGGUAUAUAUUUAGGAUAAGAAGGAUUGCAAUAAGAUAAGUGCAAUAAGAAAGAUUGACUAUAAACACAUUGUACAGAUUUCUGAAUGCUUAGUUUGCUUCUAUCUAGACUCAGGAUCUGCAUAUUUUAAUAAAUGUAAGGAAACUAUGACCUCGGCUGAUGUAAUGUAUGUUUCUACUCAACUUUAUUCAAUGAAUUUCAGCCCAUGAUUCUGUUACGUUUCCCUCCAGUUGCACAUCUCCUCUGAAUGGUUCUGCUUUCAGGCAUGGUUACAUUACACGCAAGAGUCAUUGGAUGGAUAGGGCAGUUUUGUUAGCUGUCUAUCAUGCGGCAAACACUGGUGUGUGUAAGCGUAACUUGGGAAGCGUAGCGGAAGUGGUUUCAUUGGAUGGAGGCACCCAUAGCUGUAUGGAUCUGUGCAAAACUGCUACAGUAAAUGGAUAUUUUUGCUCGCUGGUGAAAGAUCAGGGCCAUAUGUUUUGAAAUCUGUAUCGCAAGCGAUGAUUAUUGACGUUUCUAAACGUUAAAACACUGUGUCGGAAUUGUAGUUCACAUGAGCCAGUCGUGGGCGAAGCUAAUGGCUAGAAACUGUAGGGAGAAGGCAGAAUGCCUUCUAGAGUUUAAGAGCUAGGCGUUACCAUCCUGUGUUGGUGGGCAAAUGUGAAAUCAAAACCCAACGCUCAAAUAGCCAAUGGAUGUAGGGAUGUAACCGCUUCCCCAUGUCUCUCAAAUCUCAGUUUUGGAAGAUACUGACUUUAUGAAAAUGUACACUUUAUAAACUCAGCAAAAAAAGAAAUGGCCCAUUUUUAGGACCCUGUCUUUCAAAGAUAAUUCAUAAAAAUCCAGAUAACUUCGCAGAUCUUCAUUGUAAAAGGUUUAAACCCUGUUUCCCAAACUUGUUCAAUGAACCAUAAACAAUUAAUGAACAUGCACCUGUGGAACGGUCGUUAAGACACUAACAGCUUACAGACGGUAGGCAAUUAAGGUCACAGUUAUGAAAACUUAGCACACUAAAGAGGCCUUUCUACUGACUCUGACAAACACCAAAAGAAAGAUGCCCAGGGUCCCUGCUCAUCUGCGUGAACGUGCCUUAGGCAUGCUGCAAGGAGGCAUGAGGACUGCAGAUGUGGCCAGGGCAAUAAAUUGCAAUGUCCGUACUGUGAGACACCUAAGACAGCGCUACAGGGAGACAGGACGGACAGCUGAUCGUCCUCGCAGUGGCAGACCACUUGUAACAACACCUGCACAGGAUCGGUACAUCUGAACAUCACACCUGCGGGACAGGUACAGGAUGGCAACAACAACUGCCCGAGUUACACCAGGAACGCACAAUCCCUCCAUCAGUGCUCAGACUGUCCGCAAUAGGCUGAGAGAGGCUGGACUGAGGACUUUAGGCCUGUUGUAGCAGGUCCUCACCAGACAUCACCGGCAACAACUUCACCUAUGGGCACAAACCCACCGUCGCUGGACCAAACAGGACUGGCAAAGAGUGCUCUUCACUGACAAGUCGUGGUUUUGUCUCACCUGUGGUGAUGGUCGGAUUCGCGUUUAUCAUCGAAGGAAUGAGCGUUACCCCGAGGCCUGUACUCUGGACCAGGAUCGAUUUGGAGGUGGAGCAUCCGUCAUGGUCUGGGGCGGUGUGUCACAGCAUCAUCGGACUGACCUUGUUGUCAUUGCAGGCAAUCUCAACGCUGUGCGUUACAGGGAAGACAUCCUCCACCCUCAUGUGGUACCCUUCCUGCAGGCUCAUCCUGAGAUGACCCUCCAGCAUGACAAUGCCACCAGCCAUACUGCUCGUUCUGUACUUGAUUCCCUGCAAGACAGGAAUGUCAGUGUUCUGCCAUGGCCAGCGAAGAGCCUGGAUCUCAAUCCCAUUGAGCACAUCUGGGACCUGUUGGAUAGGAGGGUGAGGGCUAGGGCCAUUCCCCCCAGAAUUGUCCGGGAGCUUGCUGGUGCCUUGGCAAAUCUGGUGCAGUCCAUGAGGAGGAGAUGCACUGCAGUAUUUAAUCUUGUAACUCCCAUCCCGGAUCCGGGAGCGUUGUCAUCAACUGACACUAAUUAGGAUAACGCAACGGACAUAAAUAUUACUAGAAAAUAUUCAUAUUCAUGAAAUCACAAAUUAAAUAUAUUGAAACACAGCUUAGCCUUUUGUUAAUCACUCUGUCAUCUCAGAUUUUGAAAAUAUGCUUACAGCCAAAGCAAGACAAGCAUUUGUGUACGUUUAUCGAUAGCCUAGCAUAGCAUUAUGCCUAGCUAGCAGCAGGCAACCUGGUCACAAAAAUCAGAAAAGCAAUCAAAUUAAAUUGUUUACCUUUGAUGAGCUUCAGAUGUUUUCACUCACAAGACUCUCAGUUAGAUAGCAAAUGUUCCUUUUUUCCCAAAAUAUUAUUUUUGUACCCGAAAUGACUCCGUUAGUUUUUCACGUUUGGCUGAGAAUUCGCCAAAAAAUAUUCCAAAGUAGCUCCAUAAUAUCGACAGAAGCAUGGCAAACGUUGUUUAUAAUCAAUCCUCAAGGUGUUUUUCAAAUAUCUAUUCAAUAAUAUACCAACCGGGACAGGUGGCUUCUUAGUAGGAAAGAGAGAAACAAUGGCCGCAUUUGUCUCUUACGCACAAAACACUCUGAGAGACUCCAGCUGACCACUGACGCAAUGUUGACGUUCAGGCUCAUUUUUCAAAAUAAAAGCUUGAAACUAUGUAUUGUGACACUAGACACAUUAGGGAAGCCAUAUAAAAAGGAAUCUGGUUGAUAUCUCAUUCACUGCUCAAUAGGGAGGCAUAGGAACGCAGAGCUUUCUAAAAAAAGAGUCCCUUCCUGAUUGGAUUUUUCUCAGGCUUUCGCCUGCAAUAUCAGUUCUGUUAUACUCACAGACAAUAUUUUUACAGUUUUGGAAACUUUAGAGUGUUUUCUAUCCUAAGCUGUCAAUUAUAUGCAUAUUCUAGCAUCUUGUCCUGACAAAAUAGCCCAUUUACUUUGGGAACGUUAUUUUUCCAAAAAUGCAAAUAGUGCCCCCUAGAUUCAACAGGUUAAUGCAGCUGGUGGCCACACCAGAUACUGACUGUUACUUUUGAUUUUGACCCCCCGUUUGUUCAGGGACACAUUAUUCCAUUAAUAUUAGUCACAUGUCUGUGUAACUUGUUCAGUUUGUCUCAGUUGUUGAAUCUUAUGUUCAUACAAAUAUUUACACAUGUUAAGUUUGCUGAAAAUAAAUGCAGUUGACAGUGA
RNAcentral lists this long non-coding RNA (5440 nucleotides) under Oncorhynchus kisutch (coho salmon). RNAcentral describes it as "lncRNA (ENSOKIG00005029340.1)". The record is from RNAcentral. Lineage: Eukaryota; Metazoa; Chordata; Actinopteri; Salmoniformes; Salmonidae.